CCAAAGGCUCUUUUAAGAGCCACCCAUUAUAUCGACUAAAGAGCUUU
Non-coding RNA from Danio rerio (zebrafish), 47 nucleotides. NCBI's taxonomy places the organism in Eukaryota, Metazoa, Chordata, Actinopteri, Cypriniformes, Danionidae. The record is from Rfam.